UCAGGUGGCCGCAGAGAAUAGGCCCAAGCGACUGUUUACCAAAAACAUAGGUUUCUGCUAAGUCGCAAGACGAUGUAUAGGAGCUGACGCCUGCCCGGUGCUGGAAGGUUAAGGGGAUCUGUUAGAGCAAUCGAAGCAGUGAACUUAAGCCCCAGUAAACGGCGGCCGUAACUAUAACGGUCCUAAGGUAGCGAAAUUCCUUGUCGGGUAAGUUCCGACCCGCACGAAAGGCGUAACGAUUUGGGCACUGUCUCAACAACAGACUCGGUGAAAUUGUAAUUCCGGUGAAGAUGCCGGAUACCUGCGACAGGACGGAAAGACCCCAUGGAGCUUUACUGUAGCUUGACAUUGGGUCUUGGUACUACAUGUACAGGAUAGGUGGGAGGCUUUGAAACCAGGACGCCAGUUUUGGCGGAGCCAUCCUUGGGAUACCACCCUUGUAGUACUGGGACUCUAACCAUAGGCCAUGAAUCUGGUCUUGGGACACUGUCAGGUGGGCAGUUUGACUGGGGCGGUCGCCUCCCAAAAGGUAACGGAGGCGCUCAAAGGUUCUCUCAGUACGGUCGGAAAUCGUACGUAGAGUGUAAAGGCAAAAGAGAGCUUGAUUGCAAGACAUACAGGUCGAGCAAGGAUGAAAAUCGGACUUAGUGAUCCGGUGGUUCUGCGUGGAAGGGCCAUCGCUCAACGGAUAAAAGCUACCCUGGGGAUAACAGGCUUAUCUCCCCCAAGAGUCCACAUCGACGGGGAGGUUUGGCACCUCGAUGUCGGCUCAUCACAUCCUGGGGCUGUAGUAGGUCCCAAGGGUUGGGCUGUUCGCCCAUUAAAGUGGUACGCGAGCUGGGUUCAGAACGUCGUGAGACAGUUCGGUCCCUAUCCGUCGCAGGCGUAGGAAAUUUGAGAAG
RNAcentral lists this ribosomal RNA (902 nucleotides) under Clostridioides difficile. Its description in RNAcentral is "bacterial LSU rRNA". It matches the Rfam family "Bacterial large subunit ribosomal RNA", at positions 1769 to 2669 of the family's 2925-position model. The record is from RNAcentral. Lineage: Bacteria; Bacillati; Bacillota; Clostridia; Peptostreptococcales; Peptostreptococcaceae.